Molecule: ribosomal RNA, 506 nt
Filed under: uncultured bacterium
Lineage: Bacteria
Description: partial 16S ribosomal RNA
Rfam family: Bacterial small subunit ribosomal RNA (bases 20-321)
Source: RNAcentral
GACGAACGCUGGCGGCGUGCUUAACACAUGCAAGUCGAACGGAAAGGCCCUGCUUGCAGGGUACUCGAGUGGCGAACGGGUGAGUAACACGUGGGUGAUCUGCCCUGCACUUCGGGAUAAGCCUGGGAAACUGGGUCUAAUACCGGAUAGGAGCCAUUUUUAGUGUGAUGGUUGGAAAGUUUUUUCGGUGUAGGAUGAGCUCGCGGCCUAUCAGCUUGUUGGUGGGGUAAUGGCCUACCAAGGCGGCGACGGGUAGCCGGCCUGAGAGGGUGGACGGCCAUAUGGGGAGAGGUCUAGACGACAGCGAACGAGGGAGGUGAGGGGGAGGGAAGGACGCAGUAGGGGGGAAAGCGUGGGGAGGCGGCGCGGGGAGGGGGAGGAAUGCGGGUGUGUUGUAAACUUGUUUAGAGGGGGACAGUGCUUGUUGUGAGUGUACCUAGAUAAAAGGAACAGGCUAAGUACGGAACAGCAGCCGGGGAACUAGAAGGAAGAGAAUAUAUAUGAAC